RNAcentral lists this unclassified non-coding RNA (2002 nucleotides) under Hevea brasiliensis (rubber tree). Lineage: Eukaryota; Viridiplantae; Streptophyta; Magnoliopsida; Malpighiales; Euphorbiaceae. The record is from RNAcentral.
AAUUUUGUGGGUCCCUUCUCGCUACCCAACAAUAUCCUCCUUCCAGUCAUCUCCCACGGAAAGCCACAGUGCCAUUUCAUGUCAACCCAAUGACUUUAUCUCUAUUAACCUAGCUUCCUUUGAACCAUCCUCUUCCUCUUCUCUUCAUGUAGCAGAAAUCUUGAAUUUCUAGAUUUUUUGGUGCAUUUCUUGUCUCAAAACCCAUUUCACCAAAUUGCCUUAAAUGGGUUACCUUACUUGUAAAGCAGAAUCAGCUGUUGCCAUCGCCACCCCAACUUCUCAAACUACUUCUUCCAAAACCGCCCAAAAUAAACAAGAAAAACCCAUCAAGAUCCAACAGUUUCAUUACAAUGAUCUUGUGGCGGCUACCAAUGGGUUUUCUGAUCAGAAACUCCUAGGCAAAGGCAGCCAUGGCUGUGUCUACAAGGCCGUUAUCCGUGGGCGCCACGUUGCUAUCAAGAAACCCUCAAAAAGUCUUGAAAUUGGCCAGGAAGUGGAUAAUGAGAUCGAGAUCUUGUCCAAGAUUCACAGCCCAAGAUUGGUAAACUUAUUAGGCUUUGCAAAUGAUACUAAAGAUAGAUUGCUUGUUGUUGAAUUCAUGAGCAAUGGCACUCUAUAUGAUAUUCUUCACUCAAAUUCAAGACCACCCAAUUGGGGUCGAAGAAUUCGAAUGGCUUUGCAAAUUGCCAAGGCCAUUGACACUUUACACUCACAAAACCCUCCAAUAAUCCAUAGAGAUAUAAAGUCUGCAAACGUUUUGAUUGAUAGGAAUUUUAAUGCAAGAUUGGGUGAUUUUGGUUUAGCACUAAGGUGUGGAAUUGAUGAUGAUUAUAGACUUAAAUCAACUCCACCUGCUGGUACUAUUGGUUAUCUUGAUCCAUGUUAUGUUACUCCAGAUAAUUUGAGUACUAAAACUGAUGUCUUUAGUUUUGGGAUUUUGUUGUUGGAGAUCAUUAGUGGAAGGAAGGCUAUUGAUGUGGGGCAUUCACCACCUUCUAUUGUGGAUUGGGCAAUUCCACUUAUAAAGAAGGGGAAGCUUGGUGCUAUUUAUGAUCCAAGAAUUGCCCCUCCUAAGGAUCCUGUGACAAGGAAGCAGUUGGCUUUGAUUGCUGCUAAAUGUGUGAGGUCUUGUAGAGAGAGGAGGCCAGCAAUGAAGGAGGUGAUUGAUUGGUUAACUGCUUUAAGUAAAUUGGUUCCUCUUCAUUCAUGGAAUGGAUUCAACAAUCCCUGUAUGAUGGUGGAGACGAUGGGACGUCCAAUUGAAUUGAGAAAUAACCAGUUUGGUGUAAGACCAGAGGGUGUUGGAGAAGAGAAUUUGGAUGGUGCAGAGGGUAAACUUGGUUCACAAUCAGUGAAGGAUUCACGGAGAGUGUAUUCAGAUUUGGGGUUUCGGAGCAAUUUGAUGGAACUUAUGGGUGGAACAGAGGGUGAGUCUGGAUUUUUGGGAGAGAUUGAUGGGAUUGAAUCUUCUCUCAAGUCUGCAAAUCGGGUUUUUAGCUCUAGAUUUGGUAGUGCAAGAUAUGGUAUCAAAGGAAGAGCUCAAUCCAAGGCUCAUGGUAAUGAAAAAAGUCUCUUCCGAAUUAGAAGACACCAGUCUGCUGGGGAUGGUUCAGAAAUAUUUUCAAAGCACAAUGACACAAUUGCUCGUUCAAGUUUUAGCACUCAAGGAUGUCAUGACAUCUAGCACACCUUAAAAAUAUGACUGAAGCAACUUGAGGGCAGAGCGAAGCUCCGGCUUCUAAGCUUCUAUUGAUCGUGAAUUUCACUGAUGUAGAUUUGUUAGUAGUUCAUUGAUUUGUGAGUUUCCAAUUAAUCAGCAGUGCUUACUGAAAUGUUAAUGUGUUGUUUGAUUUGAAAUAUGUGUAGAUCAAGGCACAUUGCUGAUGUCCCUAUUAUAGGCUUUUUAUGUUUUUUAUUUAUUACAUCUUUGGUAUGCAAAGCUGAUGUAUUAUGCAGAAUCGCUGUUGAAUAAAUGCAUCAAUGUGAUUCACAAUUCUUCUUC